RNAcentral lists this ribosomal RNA (498 nucleotides) under uncultured bacterium. Its description in RNAcentral is "partial 16S ribosomal RNA". It matches the Rfam family "Bacterial small subunit ribosomal RNA", at positions 30 to 523 of the family's 1533-position model. The record is from RNAcentral.
AUUGAACGCUGGCGGCAUGCCUUACACAUGCAAGUCGAACGGUAACGGGCCUUCGGGUGCCGACGAGUGGCGAACGGGUGAGUAAUGCGUCGGAACGUACCUUUCAGUGGGGGAUAACGUAGCGAAAGUUACGCUAAUACCGCAUAUUCUGUUAGCAAGAAAGCAGGGGAUCGCAAGACCUUGCGCUGAUUGAGCGGCCGAUGUCAGAUUAGCUAGUUGGUGAGGUAAAGGCUCACCAAGGCGACGAUCUGUAGCGGGUCUGAGAGGAUGAUCCGCCACACUGGAACUGAGACACGGUCCAGACUCCUACGGGAGGCAGCAGUGGGGAAUUUUGGACAAUGGGGGCAACCCUGAUCCAGCCAUGCCGCGUGAGUGAAGAAGGCCUUCGGGUUGUAAAGCUCUUUCGGUCGGGAAGAAAUCGCAUGGGUUAAUACCCUGUGCGGAUGACGGUACCGGCAUAAGAAGCACCGGCUAACUACGUGCCAGCCGCCGCAGUAA